CUGCGGAGCUGUAAUGAUUACCAUGGUAAGGAAUAUCGAUCGAUUAUCGGAACGUGUUGCUUUCUGUUAAUGGAACGUAAUUGGUUCCAUUCUUUGGGAGUGUUGUGGUCAGCUCGGUGGUCAGCAACAAGAUUUAAAUGAUAAUAGAAUUUAUAUUGGCUAAAAUCCGGGUAAAUCGAGCAGACCUCUAUUGGUUUUAUG
Molecule: long non-coding RNA, 201 nt
Filed under: Mytilus galloprovincialis (Mediterranean mussel)
Lineage: Eukaryota; Metazoa; Mollusca; Bivalvia; Mytilida; Mytilidae
Source: RNAcentral